This 254-nucleotide ribosomal RNA is filed under the name uncultured bacterium. RNAcentral describes it as "partial 16S ribosomal RNA". It matches the Rfam family "Bacterial small subunit ribosomal RNA", at positions 524 to 776 of the family's 1533-position model. The record is from RNAcentral.
UACAGAGGGUGCGAGCGUUGUUCGGAAUUACUGGGCGUAAAGCGCGCGCAGGCGGCUCUUUAAGUCUGACGGUGAAAUGCCGGGGCUCAACCCCGUGCCCGCGGGAGAUACUGGGGAGCUGGAGACGAGUAGAGGCAAGCGGAAUUCCGGGUGUAGCGGUGGAAUGCGUAGAGAUCCGGAAGAACACCGGAGGCGAAGGCGGCUUGCUGGGCUCGGUCUGACGCUGAGGCGCGAAAGCGUGGGGAGCGAACAGG